UCUUAAUUCGCGAUUUUAUGUGGUAAUGCCUAGUCCUCCAAUAAUCCUCCUUACUUCCAUUUUGUCCUCCAUCUAAACUAUAGCCAUAUUUAUUCUAAAGUGCCAAAAGUCUAAAUAAGCACUUAGAAUGCCCCAAACAGCCCUGCUACUGGUCAUCCAUCUAUUUAUUUGGAAGAAAAGGAAAUUAACAUGUUGAAUCUGAAUCCUG
Molecule: unclassified non-coding RNA, 208 nt
Filed under: Hevea brasiliensis (rubber tree)
Lineage: Eukaryota; Viridiplantae; Streptophyta; Magnoliopsida; Malpighiales; Euphorbiaceae
Source: RNAcentral